RNAcentral lists this ribosomal RNA (255 nucleotides) under uncultured bacterium. RNAcentral describes it as "partial 16S ribosomal RNA". It matches the Rfam family "Bacterial small subunit ribosomal RNA", at positions 524 to 776 of the family's 1533-position model. The record is from RNAcentral.
UACGAAGGGGGGCGAGCGUUGUUCGGAUUUACUGGGCGUAAAGGGCGCGCAGGCGGCCAUUCAAGUCAGGCGUGAAAGCCCCGGGCUUAACCUGGGAGGUGCGUCUGGGACUGGGUGGCUAGAGAUCGGGAGAGGAGAGUGGAAUUCCCAAGUGUAGAGGUGAAAUUCGUAGAUAUUGGGAAGAACACCGGUGGCGAAGGCGGGUCUCUGGGCCGAUACUGACGCUGAGGAGCGAAAGCGUGGGGAGCGAACAGG